This 24-nucleotide non-coding RNA is filed under the name Arabidopsis thaliana (thale cress). Lineage: Eukaryota; Viridiplantae; Streptophyta; Magnoliopsida; Brassicales; Brassicaceae. The record is from RNAcentral.
UUAAAAACCCACCAAAGAAAUCCG